RNAcentral lists this long non-coding RNA (356 nucleotides) under Gossypium barbadense (sea-island cotton). Its description in RNAcentral is "long non-coding RNA (GBAR_LNC014200)". Lineage: Eukaryota; Viridiplantae; Streptophyta; Magnoliopsida; Malvales; Malvaceae. The record is from RNAcentral.
UAAGCAUUACAAUGCUUAGUAAGUUUUAAGCAGUGUCAACAGAUAACAAUCAAAUUAUAACAUAGUUAUUCGUAUUUUUAUUUCACUCUUCCUUCGGGCAUACCAUCCCUUUACCGAAUAUGCACAUCUCAUCAUAUACAAUAGGCAAAUAAACUUUCACAUAAAAGUGAGCUCAUGUGACAUAGAUAUAUCGUAUGAUUUCACAUCACCUCUCACACUGAUUCGAUGUCACAUAAUCAUAGGAAUAGUCUCAUAGAUUGCUCUCGUAUGCAUCACAUAACUACCUUAUGAUUUAGUGCAAAUCAAGCUCACAUAUAAACUUGGAGUACAUACCUGUUUAACCUUUCGCAUUGAAU